Molecule: unclassified non-coding RNA, 336 nt
Filed under: soil metagenome
Description: partial contains 5.8S ribosomal RNA, internal transcribed spacer 2, and large subunit ribosomal RNA
Rfam family: 5.8S ribosomal RNA (bases 1-120)
Source: RNAcentral
GAUGAAGAACGUAGCGAAAUGCGAUAAGUAAUGUGAAUUGCAGAAUUCCGUGAAUCAUCGAAUCUUUGAACGCACAUUGCGCCCCCUGGUAUUCCGGGGGGCAUGCCUGUCCGAGCGUCAUUGCAACCUUCAAGCGCGGCUUGUGUGUUGGGUCUCGUCCCCCGUGGACGGGCCCGAAAGGCAGUGGCGGCGUCACGACAUGGUGCCCGAGCGUAUGGGAAUCCUCUUCCGCUCGAAUCGGCCCAUGCGGCGCUGGUCGUAACCAAAUUUUUUACCGGUUGACCUCGGAUCAGGUAGGGAUACCCGCUGAACUUAAGCAUAUCAAUAAGCGGAGGA